RNA transcript from Sesamum indicum (sesame), 2773 nucleotides. RefSeq lists it as uncharacterized. The record is from RefSeq and is a predicted model, not a curated record. Lineage: Eukaryota; Viridiplantae; Streptophyta; Magnoliopsida; Lamiales; Pedaliaceae.
AUAUGUACGCGCAGUAACAUAAAGACAUCAUAUUCGGUGCCGAGAUAUACACGUAGAGGGUGGGGUGGGCUGAGCUGCAACCUGGCACCUGUGCAUGCUCUCUGCUUUCCCUUUUCCUCAGAUUUUUUCCUCUUUCGUCUGCAUUGAUUUUCCUCUACUCGUAACCUUAUUUUCUUCGAUAAAUCCAAGAACUUCUAUGUUUUCACUCAGAUCCGUGGUUUUUCUUCUUCGGCAAAUGCUCAAACAACCAUCCAAUGCAAAAGAAACAGGAUUCCAGCUAACCCAUGAGAAAUCUUGGUCGAUUUUUGCACUCUAUAGGGUGUAAAAAUUCAAGUUUUCUUGUUGCGGUGUUGUAAUUUCUUCAUUCUCUUUUGGUUGUUGGACUGCUUGAUUUUUAGUAAAGUAGUGAAGAAUGAUGAAAGUAGCUGAAAGUAAUUCUGAAAAAUUCAUCUGGGAUUCGAUGAGGAGCCCAUCCGGGGCGCCGAUUGCCGUGUCGGCUUCACAGAGCAAACCUUUCCCCAAGCUGAUGCUUUGGCUGAUUCUCUUCGUCUCAGCCACUUAUAUUGUCUACACAAUGAAGCUGCUUUCCUCUUCUCACCACUCUUGCGGCGCUGACAAUUUCCCUUCUCGACAUUUCCCUCUUCAAGAACUUGAAAACGGGGAAGUCCCAUCUCCUCUCAACCCCCAAAAAACACUUCAAUUCGGCAGUCUGAAGCAAGAAUUUCAAGAGGAAAGGAAAACGGGAUUGGAGCAUAUAGUUUUCGGCAUUGCUGCUUCUGCCAAGCUCUGGCAAAAGAGAAAGGAGUACAUAAAGCUAUGGUGGAAGCCCGAAGAGAGAAUAAGAGGGUUUGUUUGGCUCGAUCGCCGUGUGAAGACUUACAAGAACGAAACUGGGAGCCUUCCCGAGCUCAGAAUCUCAGGGGAUACUUCAAAUUUUCGUUAUAAGAACAAACAGGGUCACCGUUCCGCAAUCCGGAUUUCUCGGAUUGUUUCUGAGACUUUGAGGCUAGGAGGGAUGGACAACGUGAGGUGGUUCGUGAUGGGGGACGAUGACACGGUUUUUGUAACGGAUAAUUUGGUGAGGAUUCUGAACAAGUACGAUCAUAAUCAGUAUUAUUACAUUGGGAGCUCGAGUGAGAGCCAUUUACAGAACAUAUAUUUCUCUUAUGGGAUGGCUUAUGGAGGUGGGGGUUUUGCCAUAAGCUAUCCUUUGGCCAAGGCUCUUGAAAAAAUUCAGGAUAGAUGUAUUCAGAGGUAUCCCGGAUUGUAUGGCUCUGAUGACAGAAUUCAGGCUUGUAUGGCUGAACUUGGAGUUCCACUCACUAAAGAACUCGGCUUUCACCAGUAUGAUGUUUACGGGAACUUAUUUGGGCUUUUAGCGGCACAUCCUCUUACCCCAUUGGUGUCUUUGCACCAUCUAGAUGUGGUGGAGCCAAUUUUCCCGAAUGUCACUCAAGUAGAAGCUCUACAACGGCUGAAAAUCCCUAUGAGGCUGGAUUCGGCUGGUCUAAUGCAGCAAUCCAUUUGCUACCACAAAACGAAUGGUUGGACUAUAUCAGUUUCUUGGGGCUUUGCUGUUCAAAUAUUUCGUGGGGUGAUGUCGCCUCGAGAGAUAGAGAUGCCACCGAGAACUUUCUUGAAUUGGUAUAAACGAGGUGACUACAAGGCUUAUGCAUUCAACACGAGGCCGGUUAUGAGGAACCCAUGUCAGAAGCCCUUUAUUUUCUAUUUGUCAACAGCAAGAAUGGAGUCUCACACGAACCAAACAGUGAGUGAGUACACACAACAUCGUGAUCCUCAUCCUGCAUGCAAAUGGAAGAUGGUUGAUCCAGCUGACAUUGAUCGAGUGGAGGUCUACAAGAAACCUGAUCCGCAUCUUUGGGAUAGAGCUCCAAGGAGAAACUGUUGCCGGGUCGUAAGCUCAAAGAAGCAAAGCCUGGUUAUCAAUGUGGGUGUAUGCGAGGAAGGCGAGAAUUUGCAUCCGACAUCAACUUCGACCGCUACGCACGACAAGUAAUGGAACAUCUGAACUGCCAAUAAACAAACUAUCUAUACAAGUAUUGAUGCUACAGUAGAGAAAAACAUCUAUCUACCGAAGAAAAAUGAGAAUAUAAAUCGAACUGCACUAUUUGCGUUGGAAAUGUGCGGAAAAUUCUGGUCAAUCUCUAUCGCAACUUCUUUAAAGUCACGACGUUAAUUCUUCCCGGUGGAGUGAUGAUGGUGAUGGGAAGAAUUAGCUCUUGAAAGCAGGGAAGAAACGGCGUGUACAGCAGCGGAUGCUAUUCUUGAUUUAAUCUGUCCCCUCCUCGGUGAAGGCCUUGAGUUUGCAAAGCCUCUGAUUGCUGCUGCAGACAAAUUACUGAUCCCACGAUCCAUCUUAUGAAGCUUGACCGACUUAUAGUUUAUGUGCGUUUUAGGGGAGUUGAGGAGCAUGCCAGCGGGAGUGCUUGGCUGUACAAAGAUUCUAUUCAACCCAACUUGUGACAAGGUGGUUUCUGAGGAAGAUUUAACAGAUGAAAUGGUUGUAUGGAUGUCUAGGCCUGUCUGGACUGGCCAGUGCCGACGUACGUGCGUGCGUGUGGUUUUGGCUGAGAUGGAUUAUAUAUAUGAUCGUGGUAAGAUUUCGGUCCUCCAAUGAUGUUAUAAAUCCGUACUCGGGAGCUUUUGGUCCCUCGAAUUUUUACCUUAUUUUAUAGACAGAAAUACUGUAAUUUUGUAUCGUGCAUGUGUGUUGCACAUGCUUAUGCUCUGCCCUCAGAAUUUUCUAUAAUUC